RNAcentral lists this ribosomal RNA (465 nucleotides) under uncultured bacterium. Its description in RNAcentral is "partial 16S ribosomal RNA". It matches the Rfam family "Bacterial small subunit ribosomal RNA", at positions 28 to 507 of the family's 1533-position model. The record is from RNAcentral.
GACGAACGCUGGCGGCGUGCUUAACACAUGCAAGUCGUACGGUAAGGCCCUUUCUGGGGUACACGAGUGGCGAACGGGUGCGUAACACGUGAGUAACCUGCCCACAACUUUGGGAUAACGCUACUAAACUGGUGCUAAUACUGCAUAUGUGCUCCUGCUGCAUGUUGGGGGUUGGAAAGCUCCGGCGGUUGUGGAUGGACUCGCGGCCUAUCAGCUUGUUGGUGGGGUAGUGGCCUACCAAGGCGGCGACGGGUAGCCGGCCUGAGAGGGUGACCGGCCACAUUGGGACUGAGAUACGGCCCAGACUCCGACGGGAGGGAGCAGUGGGGAAGAUUGAACAAGGGGCGCAAGCCAGAUGCAGCAACGCCGCGGGCGGGAGGACGGCCUUCGGGUUGUAAACCGAUUUCAGCAGGGACGAAGAUUUUUGUGACGGUACCUGCAGAAGAAGCACCGGCUAACUACGUG